This 5728-nucleotide long non-coding RNA is filed under the name Sus scrofa (pig). RNAcentral describes it as "lncRNA (ENSSSCG00000056352.1)". Lineage: Eukaryota; Metazoa; Chordata; Mammalia; Artiodactyla; Suidae. The record is from RNAcentral.
AGACCCCUGCUUGAAGGCUCUCUCUCUAAGAAGACAGGCGGGCACCCUCCUCUCCCACCAGGUCCCACGGCCAGGGCUGGUCUCUCUAACUCUGAGGAGGCGGGGGGAGGGCAGUCUCCUCUCAGUCUCCGCCCCCCCCCCCCCCCCGUUUCCUUCGCCCACCUCCUCCAGACUGGGUGCCCCCACACUGAACCCAGGGGAGAAGCUCUUCCCAUUUUCCACGUGCCCCAUUCUUCUGGGCCUUUGCUGGGUCACCAAGGCCCUCCUGUGGGGGGAGAGUCCUGCCGUGCAGGGGACAAGAGGCGUGUCUGUAAAUACUGAUCCUCCAAGGGGGAGGUUGAGGAGUGGGGGUAUCUGGUGACAAGUGCAGACACAAGAGGGCCACACGGAUUCUGGGAGCCCCUGGUCAGGAGGUCUGUCCCCUGUGGCCAGGGCUAUUGCCCUGUUCAAACCGUGCAGCGAGGCCCCUCAGUGGGCAUCUAGAGCCCCCGCGAACCAGGGGCCCUGGAGCAUGUGCUGUUUUCCUGUAACUGUCCUUCUCAAGUGGAAGUUCACGUUAACUGCGCGGCCAGCUGCUGUGCGAUGGAAAAGCCAUUACAGCCCCUUCCUGUCCUUUUGAUCAAACCCUUCGACUCCCAGGGCGCCCUCAUUUCUGAUUGUUGGAAAAGCACAUUGACGGGGCGGAGGGGGGGCGGUGGUGCAGGCCCCUCCAGGUGACCAGGCUCCGGUCCUGGAGGAGGACAAUUCGGGCAGACCCCUUCCUUGGGGCUCUGAGCCCAGCGCCGUCUGCAGGCGAGGGGUCUUCCUUGGGGGUCUUGAGUAGAGCCCCGUGCAUGGGCUCCCGCAGGCGGAGUCAGCCAGCUGUGCCACUGGCUACUCUCUGGGCAUCUUGGGGUGGGGUUUCCAUGCUGCUUCUCAGCAGGACAGCCAUGCUCCCCAGCCGCUCACAGCAGUCCACCGUGAGGGCAGCUGGCUCUUCUUGCAGCAUCUGCCCAGGCCAAGCUGGCAGUUUCCUGCAUUUGCAAAGCCAGGGCACUGAGAGGAUGUGGGAGGGGCAGCUUCCGGCCCUGGCGUCUUGGCAGCCGUUCCCAGGCAAGAAUCCACCCCCAGCCCUGCCAUUGGUUCUCCUGCCUCUUCCGGGCAGAGUGGGGAGCAGCGCCUGCUCCUCGGGGGCUGGUCCAUCCCAUCACCCAGGCUGCCCAGGGGCGGUCAUACCCACUAGAUUAGGGGACCCCCUGGGGCCCGGUGCCCUCCUGCCAGCCGCACAAAGAGGUCAGCCUCGUGCCUGUGCCGUAGGCCUCUGUGGCGUCAUUUACCUUGUCCGCUGCCAGCUUGGCUGGCCCUCCUUCGCUCCUCCCCGGGGCCUCUGCCCUUCACAGUGCCCUGUUGUUGCUGGAAGAGCAGGCAGGCACCCUGGCCCUGGCUUUCCGCCCUGUCUCCUGGAGGGCAGUGUUUGGUUGGCCACCGCAGGCAGCCCCAGGGCUGGCUCGGCUAGUGGGGAACUGGACGCCCUUCUGGAACACCAGCUUCCCAAGGGCAGGCCCCACUGGCUUCUCCAUGGCUGCACUUCCAGCAUCCAGAGCAGCACCGAGCAGGGCUUAGGGCGCAGGGGUGAACAUACAAGUGACCAAAGAGGUGACAACACCCCUUCCCUCCCCCAGCCCGGAGUGGGUGCAUUGGUACCUUCCCAUCGAACAGAAGCUGACCUCUGGGAGGCCCUGGGCCCUGGGCAGUGAAAGGCAGGCCCAGGAUGGAGGGGUUGUGUGGUGAGGGGCAGGAGAGGCAGGGGGAGGGCCGAGCCUGGAGAACUCCAGAAGCCUGGAUCAGGAGAGACCCCUGCUUAUCAGGAGUCCCUCCGCCUCCAGCCAGAGUGGCUGGAUAGGCCACCCCGUUGGCGUGGCCUCGAGGGUAGGAAGCCAUGUUGUGCAGGGACCCAGGUCUGGGUCCACAUUGCUGUGUGACCCCAGGGAGACUUCUCAGCCUCUCUGUGCCUGUUUCCCAUCAGUUACAGAGGAGUGACAACAGCCAUAAUCGCAGGGUUAUUAGGAAGACUCAAUGUGAUGAUGCAUGAGAAUGUUUAAAAUAGUCCCGGCACAUGGUUAAUUUUUAAUAAAUUUUAGGGAUAAGUUGCCAGUAAUAAUAAUAGCCAAAGUGCAGAUGUUGAUAAGACCCUCAGGAAAUAAGAGGCUUGUGUUUUGUACCCCAGACCACGGCUGGCUGUGUGAUCUGGGCACAUGCAGUUGUCUCUGGUCUCUGGAUGAGCUCCCUGUUAGUUACCGUCAGAGGGGCCUGGGGCAGAUGGCUGCUGGGUCUGAACUUGGUCCUGUGACCUUUCCCCGCUGAGUGGUGGGAGCGCUUGGGCUCACCCUUUGCAGUUCCAAGAGCGCGUACAUCCCAUCCUUGCGCCUUCUCUGGGCCGUGCUCUGGCCAGUGGCCGCCGUCAUCAGGUUCCCAGGGAGCAAACCAAGGCCCGGGUCGGGUAACGACUCAGCCCCCAUCGCACCUUCCUGGCCACGAAGGGCCUCUUCCUAGAGUUCCUGUGGCCUCACACUCUGACAUCUGUGAGGCCUGUUGGUUGUUGGUUUUCAAUACGUGGUCAUCUUCUGUGGUAUCAACCCGGAUGACUGAUGCUAAUGUGUGCAAGCCUGUCCCGGGGAGGGAGCUGACAUGGGGUUCGAGUAGGAAUGUUCUAGAACAUGCUAUUAGGAGCACAUGACAGCCAUGUAGCGUGGAUCUGGUGCCUGAGAGGUGACAGAGUACUUGCUCAGCUUAUGGCAUCUGUUCUUCUCAACAGCCCGGGAGGCUCAGGAUGCAGGGAUUUGCCCUCAGGCCCAGAACCGGCAAGUGGUGUCAAGGCGGGACUUGCACCCAGAUAUGUGGCUUCCGAGCCCAAAGCUGCCCUCUCUGAAGUCCACUAGCACCCGAGACGUGGCCAGGGCCUGAGGGCCAUUGAACUUUUGCUCCUCUGGGGAGAAAGCUCAGGCAGAAGCCAUGUUCUGUUCUCCAGGGAAACCGUGACCCACCAUUGACCCAUCACAGCCCAGGGGAUGCUGGGAAAAUCCCUCUCAGGUGCCGAGAUCCCUCCCCCGCCCCACGGUUGUUCUAAAGAGGGAGCCAACCACCCGGGGAACAUUCCCCAGGAAUAAUUGCUAAAAGGCCUAAUUUUGGAGAUAACCACCGUUAUAAACGUCUCAUUACUUUAAUUAAAGGCUCAUCCAUCACUGACGCACUGCUCCCCCGAAGCAGAGGGGCUCAGGCAGCAGCAGCAUCCAGUGUGAGCUCGACUGGGAGGCAGAGUGAGGGCUUGCACCGCACUCCCCCUCAGCCUCCUUUAUGGAUGCUGGCGGCCCCGCCAAACCUCGCAGGAACACCCCAUUUCCUCCCCCAUGGCCCCGGUGGCCUGUGCCCCUGCAAAGACCCUCCCUGCCCCUGCUGCCAUGUUGGCAAAGCUGAGACGGCCUUGGAGGAGCCAGGCUGUGACCUUGCAGACAAGAAGGAUCAGCGAAGAGCAGAGAAACUCAGGACAGCGGGUGUGACCCCAGCACGUGUGCUGGUUGGGAGGUCGGGGGUGUCUCUGCCCCAACGAGGCCAUUGUCACCUCAGUUCGUCAAAGUCCUGCCUCGCCCUGGGGCCCUUUACCGCCUGAGUCUGCCCAGUAAGUGCCCCUGCUCUGCUAGGAGGCUCGGCAUCCCACUGGCGCGCACAGCGCGAUUGCUUUCUCUCCUCUCCUAUCAGUGGGCAUUUGGACCAGCGUUUGGCUACUGCAUAUAAGUUGCUGUCAGUAUCCUGGUAGCUGUCUCUGGAUCUGUGGGGGCAGGAUGUCCCCUUGGUGUAUGUUCCGGACUGGGGUGGCUGGGUCAAGGCCACGGGAACACGCAGGCUGAGUUCUGCCCCCGCUUCUCCAGCCCCUUCCCGUCUCCUGAGCCCCUGCUGCGUACCAGCUCCUGUAGGGGGCGCUUCCCUUCAACCUCAGAACCAUGCUGUGUGGGAGAUUCCAUUGUCCCCCUUUUAUAGAUAGAUCUAAGGCUCAGAGGGACUGUCACUGGUCAAGGCCACUUAGCUGAUAAGUAGCUGGGCCAGAAUCAAACCCAGAUCCCAUGGCAGCGGGUGUGGGGGGUGGGGGGAGGGCAAAUUCCUUGAUCUCAAGGCCCCUCUGCCCCUUGCCCCCCACACCCAGCAUUCUGGGGCGCCCCUGGCACAUUAAAGCCUGCCUGGACAAGGCCGGUGAUCAGUGCCUCCAAUGGGGAGCAGGGCGGAGGUGCCCGCGUGACUGCUGCCCUACCGGCACCUGCAGCUGGCGUGCCUCCUGGGGGGCAGGUUCCCAGCCCCUGCCUCGCUCACGUUUUACUUUCUCCUAAGUGGCCUCCAGAGAUGCCAUUUCCCGUUACAAAAUCUGGCUCCAUCCAACCAUCCCGGCAAAUGGCCCAUCAGCUCAGCCCAUCCACAGGCAGCAAGAGACGUGGACCAGGGGAAGGAAUUGAGCAGGGACUUUUAUUCCUUCCUGGGGUUAAACCUCCCAGUUUGAGGUAAAACAAAUUCCUCACUGGAGCUCAUCACCUCCAGCUGGGCUGUAGGAAGCCCCAUUUAAUCAGAUCACUUAGCUCUGAAUCACGCUAACGAGAUGACGGGCAGGGCUGACUCUGCCCUCGUGCAAGGCCAGUCUCGGGGGACGAGGGCAGUCUGGCAGGCGGGGGGUGGCUGGCUCUGGAGGUGCAGGGCCUCUGCAGACCUGGGGCGGGUACUGUCCUCCGUCCCUCGGCGUCUGUCUGCAUCCACGGUAGAGAGAAUUCUCCUUGGGCCUCGGCUCGGGGGCCAGAGUGAGACGAUGAGAUGGAAAUCAAACCAGGAGUUACCUCAAUGGGCCUCAGAACCUUUGGAAGCACAGCCAUGCCCCCAAGAGAGAGGGGGACACCAGCCCCACGGAGACGGGCACCAGCUCCAGCAUCAUGCAGCCCCCAUGCCAGCGCCAGCUCAAUCCCUCUGUGGACUCCACCCACACAGAGCUGUAUAACGUGACUAAUUCACGCAGCAGCGAGUGGUGGGGACAGAGCCUGGUCAGCUUCCUGUGGAGCAUUCCUGGAAGUCGGGGGCUUCAGGGACCCCGGAAGCGUGAGUGUUUGGGGAGGGGAUCCCGUGCUCAGAACCCUGCAAAGGGAGUCAGUUACUCCAAGUUGGGCUUGGCGGCCUGGAGCGUGUUACUGACUCUUCAUUGACACAGUUGCAGGAAGAUUCAGGGUAUAAAUUUGAACAAGGAUUAACCAUUCCCAGAACAAACAGCCCUCGCCGGCUCUCCUCCCCGCACACAAACCCCACUGGGUCAUCCAAGUGCAAACAGGUAUGAUGAGGCCGCCUCUCCUCUCCCCUCCCUCUUCCUGGCAGCUGGUCUUCCACCAACAGCGUCCAGAGUCGGUGGGUCUUGGCCUGCAGAGAAGGUGGCCUAAGUGUUGGGGGAGCCCCUGGGGACCUUGACCCCCCUUCUGGAGCAGGCAGUGGCUAGGUGAGGCCCUCGUCGGUUUCCUGUCUCCUCCUUCAACGGGGGGAGAGGCGCAGCUCGGCCCGUAUGGCUUUGAUGCAGCAUCAGUGGAGCUCGAAAGCUGAGAACGGGCCAAGGAUGAACCUGUCGCCCCCACUGGCCUCCCCUCCUUAGACAGACGAGUCACAGGGAUGACGGAAUUAGCAUCUCGCUCCUGGUCUGGGGUCUGUCUGAAAAUUCAGAUGUGUGAGAAAG